RNA transcript from Manduca sexta (tobacco hornworm), 2034 nucleotides. It is a transcript of the gene named deubiquitinase DESI2, with no coding region annotated. The transcript has 9 exons. The record is from RefSeq and is a predicted model, not a curated record. NCBI's taxonomy places the organism in Eukaryota, Metazoa, Arthropoda, Insecta, Lepidoptera, Sphingidae.
UGGUUCGUUAAAUGUCAAAUUUGUCAAAACUAAUAAAAGCACAUUGGGGUUAUUGUUAAUUUUAUUUGUGAAUUUCAGCAUUUCUAUUACUAUCUCGCACGCAAUACUAAUUAUCGAUAAGCGCUACGUCGACAGUUUGCAAACAAUGGAGCUGAUCAUUUGAUUCGGCGGCAAAAUUCUAUGGAAUUCAUCUUCCUAACACGGAAGCCAAAUAAUAGAAUCCGCAGUGACAAGUAUGUGUAGAAAUGAGAUGUGACGCGUGCGGUGUCCGCACGCUCCGUACGGAACGGAGGACUGAGGGCCGCGAGGAGCCAGGGGACUGCGACCCUCUCAUACACUCCCCCACUGUCGCUCAGGAGGAGCCCUACGAUAAUCGUAACUUAUCGUGCGGUAUCUGCGCUAUGUUCCCGUCGUGCAUGUCGCUGUUGUCGCGCCGGCCGGACAGCCAGCCGCCGCGGCCCGGACAGGCGGCCGUCGUGCUCAACGUUUACGACAUGUAUUGGACCAACUGGUACACGGCGGGUGCUGGCGUGGGCGUGUUCCACAGCGGCGUGCAGGUUCACGGCUCGGAGUGGGCGUACGGCGGGCAUCCGUACGCGUUCACGGGAGUGUUCGAGAUCUCGCCGAGGGACGAGCGCGAGUUGGGGGAGCAGUUCCGUUUCAGACAGAGCGUGCACAUAGGCUACACGGACUUCAGCGAGGAGGAGGUGCGGCGGCUCGUCACGGAACUCGGCAAGCAGUUCAGAGGUGACAGAUACCAUCUAAUGAACAACAACUGCAAUCAUUUCACAUCAGCAUUCUGUCAGGCGCUAUGUUCACGUGAUAUCCCCGCGUGGGUGAACCGGCUCGCGUACGUGAGCUCCUGCGUGCCUUUCCUACAGCGGUGUCUACCAAAAAAUUUCGUGUGAUGAAUGGAAUAUAGUUAUAAGUUGGCAGCGCUGAGGCGGUGAGUGAGGUGGUGGGUUGUUGUUGUGCAGGGAGUGGCUGACGCCGGCGGCGCUGCAGCAGUCCCUGGCGGCGCACUCGCGCUCCUCCUCGCCGCAGACGCCGCACACGCCCAACACGCCCACCACGCCGCAAUAGCAACAGGAUGUACUGCGAAUGCGCAGAUGAGCAGUCAGAAGUGUUGUGCGAACUAAUACCUAGAUCUAAUGUUAGAUAAUAGUCGGUUUGGCGCAUUGUCAAGUGUCGCGGGACGCGGGGAGGCUAGCGGGUCCUCUGUCCUUUUCUAUCUAACCAGGGUAGAAAGAGACAGAAGAUCGUUGUAAACUGUAAAGGACGUGCGGGUCUAUUGUGAACGGUUUAAAUUUGGAACAUUGGUUUUAAAUUUAGAACAUUGGUUUUAAAUUGAGGACAUUGGUUUUAAAUUUAGAAUAAUUUGGAAUCUCAAAUUAGUAACGGAUUUUUUUAGUAUAAACGUUGGGUAUCGUAUGCGAAAGCAACGAAGACUUAAAUAAAAUUCGAAUUUUUGAAAAUUAAAGGUACUAAAAUUUGGAAUGUCGGAAUUAGCGCCCCCGGUCCCUGUGUUAGCCUGUUACAUUGUUAUAUUUCGAAACGACAUAAUUGUAUGAAUAAUAUACUUAUGAAUUACGCGUGAUCGUGAUGUGACUGAUAUCCCAAUAAUAUUAAUGCAAAAUAAUUAAAUAUUCGUUGCUCAAAUGCACACUGCUUGACCGGUUUGGAUUUUUGGUGGACAGAGUCUGUUUUGAUAGACAUUAGUUUGUCUAUGGAUUUACAGUGAUUUGUGUUACGUACGCGAUGUAAUUGAAUAUUUUUGUUUAAAUAAGACCGUGGGUCAAAAAUUAUCCGCUUAAAGUAAUCAAUGGUUUUAGAAUUUAAAAUUGAAAUUUAUUUUAAACGUGUCAAAUAUGGAACAAGAUCGUCGAUUUGGUCGCAAUUAUUUAUACAUUGACCUCGCUAAAAUCCAGUCCAAUGACGCUAUUUAAAUAAAUUAACAAUUAUUUUACACGAAUUAUAGAUUUUUUAAACUUUCAAUUAAUAAUUUAUAAAAUCUUUUCAAUACAUUAUCUUUAA